Long non-coding RNA from Galeopterus variegatus (Sunda flying lemur), 902 nucleotides. RefSeq lists it as uncharacterized. The record is from RefSeq and is a predicted model, not a curated record. Lineage: Eukaryota; Metazoa; Chordata; Mammalia; Dermoptera; Cynocephalidae. The transcript has 3 exons.
GAGCGCCGACAGGACGCCGCCCGCGCUGGGAUCGCAGUCCCCUUGAAGCCUUUAGUCGGAGGCCAGGACGCGUCAGCUGCAGGAACUCUAAUGCGAACCCCGCAUGUGGGAGGAGUCACACCACAAGGAAGAUAGCAAAUAGCCUAACAGUGCCUGCCACCAGAAGCAGCAGUCCCAGGAUGUCCACUCACUCUACAGUUUCCAGAGGGUGCAGUCCUGGGCCAGGCCAGCCCCCUGCAGGAUGGACACAGGAAGGAGGCCCAGCGGGAAAGGGGCAAAGCCUUCCCAGAAAAGGUUUGCUGCCCGCUGGUGUAGUGCAAGAUCUACCAUGCUCCCCAGCUGCUGGGAAUAUUGGUGGCUAUGGGCUCAGGGAUGCCCAUUUCUCUGGUGAUUUCCCUGGGCUGUUUAGGGGACACCUAGCCAGAGAGUUCCUUUGUGUUGCCCUCAGCCAACUGAUGCUAUUAUAAACAGAAUUAUCUUUUUUUUUUCCUUUUUCUAGACAGAAUUAUCUUUUAAUUUCACUUCGAAUUGUUGGUAGCUAGUGUAUAGAGAAACAAUUGAUUUUUAUAUUGAUUUUGUAUACUGUAAACUUCUUGAGUUCUUUUGUUAGCUCUAAUGAAUUUUUAGUAGAUUCAUUAAGAUUUUCUGUAUAAAGUUUAUGUCAUCUGCACAUAGAGAUAGUUUUACUUCUUCCUUUCAAUCAGAUGGCAUUUUACUUUUUGUUCUUGCCUCAUUGCCCUGGCUGGAACCUCAUGUUGAAUAUGUUGAAUGGGAGCAGCAAGAACAAACAUCCUUCCCUUAUUCCUGAUGUUAGGAGGAAAGCUUUCAGUCUUUCAACAUUAACGAUGAUGUUGGGCGUGUUUUUUGUAAAUGCCCUUUGUUUCUCUCUCUCUCUCUCUCUC